RNAcentral lists this ribosomal RNA (207 nucleotides) under Salmonella enterica subsp. enterica serovar Durham. RNAcentral's name for it is "partial 23S ribosomal RNA". It matches the Rfam family "Bacterial large subunit ribosomal RNA", at positions 2434 to 2640 of the family's 2925-position model. Lineage: Bacteria; Pseudomonadati; Pseudomonadota; Gammaproteobacteria; Enterobacterales; Enterobacteriaceae. The record is from RNAcentral.
UGGAAGGGCCAUCGCUCAACGGAUAAAAGGUACUCCGGGGAUAACAGGCUGAUACCGCCCAAGAGUUCAUAUCGACGGCGGUGUUUGGCACCUCGAUGUCGGCUCAUCACAUCCUGGGGCUGAAGUAGGUCCCAAGGGUAUGGCUGUUCGCCAUUUAAAGUGGUACGCGAGCUGGGUUUAGAACGUCGUGAGACAGUUCGGUCCCUA